RNAcentral lists this ribosomal RNA (252 nucleotides) under uncultured bacterium. RNAcentral's name for it is "partial 16S ribosomal RNA". It matches the Rfam family "Bacterial small subunit ribosomal RNA", at positions 524 to 776 of the family's 1533-position model. The record is from RNAcentral.
GACGAGGGGUCCUAGCGUUGUUCGGAAUUACUGGGCGUAAAGCGCACGUAGGCGGAUACUUAAGUCCGUUGUGAAAUCCCUGGCUCAACCCAGGAAUUGCUUCGGAUACUGGCGUGCUUGAGGCUAGUAGGGGUCACUGGAACUGACGGUGGAGCGGUGAAAUGCGUAGAUAUCGUCAGGAACGCCGAUGGUGAAGACAGGUGACUGGGCUAGUUCUGACACUGAGGCACGAAAGCGUGGGGAGCGAACGGG